RNAcentral lists this ribosomal RNA (253 nucleotides) under uncultured bacterium. RNAcentral's name for it is "partial 16S ribosomal RNA". It matches the Rfam family "Bacterial small subunit ribosomal RNA", at positions 524 to 776 of the family's 1533-position model. The record is from RNAcentral.
UACGUAGGGGGCGAGCGUUGUCCGGAUUUACUGGGCGUAAAGAGCGCGCAGGCGGUCAAGUCAGUCGAAUGUGAAAGCCCCCGGCUCAACUGGGGAGGGUCAUUCGAUACUGCUCGACUUGAAGGCAGGAGAGGGAAGUGGAAUUCCCGGUGUAGCGGUGAAAUGCGCAGAUAUCGGGAAGAACACCCGUGGCGAAGGCGGUUCUCUGGGACGGUACUGACGCUGAGACGCGAAAGCGUGGGGAGCGAACAGG